UGUGUAUAGAAACUUCAACUUUGAUAUGCAUGGGAUUCAUUUCCUUGUGAUUAUCCAGAGGAUACCAACAACCUGGCUAAAUAAUCAAAUGAAGGAAAACAAGGCCUUUUCGAUGGAUGUAGCAGUAAUUCAUGCCAACAUAAGUUAGGACUCAACAAUAGUAAUGCCAACAGCCAUGCUGAAAGAUCAGAAGAUAGAAAGAAAGCUAUUUUGUUGAUAUUCAGCACAACACUUGUGGCAUAUAAUUAGUUUAUCCCAGUGCAAAGAACAACCCUGUCCUUUAGUUGGUGUUUAUGUCCAAGGAGGUGCACAAGCCAUGUGUAGGGAUCUAAUCAAGCACUGCAUCUUUAACAAAUCUACGAAAGAUAAUACAGCACAUACAUUUUGUAAUGCUAUUAAAAAUGCAACAUUAGAUUAUGUCGUUAACCUUAAGGUGACAGAUCUCAAUAUCUCACGCAUGCAUUAAUGCAUAUGCAGACAAGAAUUUUUAUCCAGAGCAUAUAUCAUAUGCAUACAGUUCUGUAGUUUUUCCAACCAAAAUAAACCAUGUUAGCAGAUGAAAAUUACAACAUUUAUCUGUCUGCAAGUGUGAAUUGAGGAAUUUUUGUAUCAUGCUAAUUGAGUUUACUAAAACUCAUUGGUAAUAUUGUCAAUUCCAAUCUUAGGGAAAAACAUCAAGACCCAAGUUAUAUCACAAUUAGAAAUGCUUACAUGUUAUAAUAUUUUUGAAGUCACAGAAAAUUGUUAGUUAUUUAGUUCUAAAACAUUUACGGAAACACUCC
RNAcentral lists this unclassified non-coding RNA (782 nucleotides) under Hevea brasiliensis (rubber tree). The record is from RNAcentral. Lineage: Eukaryota; Viridiplantae; Streptophyta; Magnoliopsida; Malpighiales; Euphorbiaceae.